UUUUUAUAGUGUAAAGAACACGUUACAUUUUCGUUGUAAAACUGAAGUUUUAACUUCUAAAAAUU
This 65-nucleotide transfer RNA is filed under the name Enoplometopus debelius. RNAcentral describes it as "tRNA-Glu". The record is from RNAcentral. Lineage: Eukaryota; Metazoa; Arthropoda; Malacostraca; Decapoda; Enoplometopidae.